This 492-nucleotide ribosomal RNA is filed under the name uncultured bacterium. Its description in RNAcentral is "partial 16S ribosomal RNA". It matches the Rfam family "Bacterial small subunit ribosomal RNA", at positions 29 to 507 of the family's 1533-position model. The record is from RNAcentral.
AGUGAACGCUGGCGGUAGGCCUAACACAUGCAAGUCGAACGGCAGCACAGUAAGAGCUUGCUCUUACGGGUGGCGAGUGGCGGACGGGUGAGGAAUACAUCGGAAUCUACUUUUUCGUGGGGGAUAACGUAGGGAAACUUACGCUACUACCGCAUACGACCUACGGGUGAAAGCAGGGGAUCUUCGGACCUUGCGCGAUUGAAUGAGCCGAUGUCGGAUUAGCUAGUUGGCGGGGUAAAGGCCCACCAAGGCGACGAUCCGUAGCUGGUCUGAGGGGAUGGUCGGCCCAACCGGAAAUGAGAAAAGGUCCAGACCCCUAAGGGGGGGAGGAGUGGGGAAUUUUCGGCAAUGGGGGGAAAGCUUACGCCACCCAGCCGGGGGGGUGAAAAAAGGCCUCGGGUUGGAAAACCCUUUUUUUGGGGAAAAAAAAGCGGGGGGUUAACUCCCCGCGUUUUGACGGGAACCAAAAAAAAAGCCACGGCUAAAUUCGGG